GUUUAUUAGUCCAAAGCCAGUGUACACUAGAACUAGACAAAUGAUCCAAUAUUCUUAUUCCUUUCCAGAAGCCAAUGAGUUUGUUAUGGAGGUGAGCCGAGAACUAUGCUGAACAGUGCCAAAUAUUUUCCAGAGUCAGAAACUACUGAGAAGAAAGCUCCUUUUUUCUGCCAAGUGCCUGAGGCCAAAAGGGAACAUGGCUAAAUUUCACUGUAAGAAAAACUUAACCAGCAGAUGUGGAGGAGAGACCCAGAGGUGCCAGUUCUUUCAGUGCUGGCUCAAGGGGGCAGGAGAAGAGCAGAAUAAAAAGGACCUGGGUAAGAGCCAACAGAUGGCCCAGGAGAGCAGUGAAGAUGGAAGAAGAAUUCCUCUGACUCACAGUAAGGCAUUUGGAGCAAGGUUAGGGAGUAAGGAAACAUGACAAGCCAAGAAAGAAGCAGCUGCAGCAAGGGGGUAAGCAUGUGCUCAGCAGCCUUCUGUUUCCUACCCAACAGAAAUGCUGGGCAGCUACUUCCCCUUCCUUCACCUGUCUCUACCCCUUCCUCUUGCAUUUAUUUCAUGUUUCUCCAAUCCAUAUUUAAUCUCCUGCUUCUGUCUUUUUAAGCUGCCUCACAAGGUCAUUUGGGCUGUAGGUAUUAGAACUGCAAUGUUUUCAGUUCCUUCUGAUGGUUAAGGGCUAACAAAAAAGGCUCCUGAAAAGUAAAAAAGCAAAACAGAACAAACCAAACAAGGCUGUUUCACAUGGAAAAAUGUUAAGCUUCAGAAAUGGAAAAAUUUUGUGGCCAUGCAAUGAUUUUAAAAAACCUUCCUGUUGAAGACUUUCUCAAUCCAAGGCAAAUUUUUGAGCAGAAGCUUAAGGAAUUGCUUUAAGGAUAGAGUGUGAUUUUAUUUAAUACCCUGUCUGUGGCUAGCACAUUGAGCAUAUCUCUAUACUGCAAAGAUGACCUUUGCCCCUUAGUGUUCUGUCUUCCAUUUUUUUCCGGGAAAGUUUUGUACUGUUUGACAUUUCUAAAGAAAGGGAAUUGCAGUCCUCUUAAUAGUCCUUGAUCUGUUUCACCACCAAGGACACUUAGACAUUCUCAACUGCAUGUGUGAGUUGCCCAUCAGAUAGGAAUGUCAUAGUUCACUGUUAUGGGGAAAGAAAGAGGCCACUUACAGGGAGUGCUGGUCUGAGCAGAAGAAAGUGCAGGCAUUAGAAGUCCACUAGCUUAGACUAAAGAUAUCUGGGAGAAAACCACGGAUAAUUCCCCAAUCUCCAGUCAAUUCCCAUGUGUUGCCCUACAAGAAGACUAAAGGUGUUGUGCUGAUUCCAGACCAGACUGUACAUUUGCCUGACUGCCUACAGUCCUGUGUACUUGCUUAGUGUUAGCUGAAGCUACACUAAUCUGUGAUGACUUUGCACCUAACCUUAUCCCAAAGCUGUAAAGACAGGGAAAGUUGCAAUAAAAAAUAGUGGCCACCAGUGCUUGAUGUAAAC
Molecule: long non-coding RNA, 1477 nt
Filed under: Cyanistes caeruleus (blue tit)
Lineage: Eukaryota; Metazoa; Chordata; Aves; Passeriformes; Paridae
Description: lncRNA (ENSCCEG00000011452.1)
Source: RNAcentral